Tarenaya hassleriana is the source of this 881-nucleotide long non-coding RNA. RefSeq lists it as uncharacterized. Lineage: Eukaryota; Viridiplantae; Streptophyta; Magnoliopsida; Brassicales; Cleomaceae. The transcript has 6 exons. The record is from RefSeq and is a predicted model, not a curated record.
CGCGGAUUUCGAAUCCUCUUUCCGUCGAUUUUUUUUUCCCCUGCGGAUUGAGCAAAGAAUAGUCACUUGUGAGACGAGAAUCGGGGGAAAACGGGGCUGAUUUCCGGAAUUUUAUUCGGUCUGAUCUCAGACGUCGCUAUAAUGGCUGGUUGGAGUCGCAUGAUGAGGCGCCGCACCUCCAAGCGAGUCACAAAGGCUGUUGAUAUGAAACUUCUAGGGUCGCUUAGCAGAGGUGAUCUGAAGAAAUAUGUAGUGAUAAUUUUCCAUAAUGGAUAUUGCUUUCCGGCCUUUGAGCAGGUUAAAUGGCUGAAUAAACUACUGAACAAGAUCAAGAUGUGGCCAUAUGUUUCAGAGCAACUAUGGUGUGAUUAGAGAAUCUGUUGAAACAAACCGUUGCUGGAAGAAUACAGACCUUCAGCUUUUACUUCACUGAAGUUUAGCAAAUUGACUCUGGGAAAUGUAGCACCAAAGAUUGAAUGUACCCUUAUGUGGAGAGCCUAUAUCUUAAGGUAAUCCGCGUUCGAAGUCUCUAGGAAGGUCAAAUCAGAGAGGACAUUGAUCUUCGAUGGGGGUGGUAAUCCAAGCAUCAUUUUAGGCGAUACAGCACUGGAGAUAAUUUAAAUUCCUUACACUGCAUUUUCUCCAAAAUUAGAAGAUUAACCCAUCUCACCAAAGAGUUUUUUUUCUUUUUCUGCUGGCUCAAACAGUUGAAGGAUCUACAAGUAUUCACAGUUGUCCGUGUUAUCUUUCAAAUUGCCGAGGAGAUUCCUUGCAUUUCUGCUGUUGUUGUUGCUCUACUUGCCUGAGGUACGGUACAUUUGCGUUUGAAUGAUCCACAAUCAUAUGCUUUUUUCCAUCUUUUAAAUGGCGACCUGUUUUUU